UUGAGUUGUAUUGAAGUAGGCGGAAUAUGUAGUGUAGCGGUGAAAUGCAUAGAUAUUACAUAGAACACCAAUUGCGAAGGCAGCUUACUAAGUACUAACUGACGCUGAUGGACGAAAGCGUGGGUAGCGAACAGGAUUAGAUACCCUGGUAGUCCACGCCGUAACGAUGGAUACU
Molecule: ribosomal RNA, 175 nt
Filed under: uncultured bacterium
Lineage: Bacteria
Description: partial 16S ribosomal RNA
Rfam family: Bacterial small subunit ribosomal RNA
Source: RNAcentral